This 442-nucleotide ribosomal RNA is filed under the name uncultured bacterium. RNAcentral describes it as "partial 16S ribosomal RNA". It matches the Rfam family "Bacterial small subunit ribosomal RNA", at positions 338 to 795 of the family's 1533-position model. The record is from RNAcentral.
CCUACGGGUGGCAGCAGUGGGGAAUAUUGGGCAAUGGGCGCAAGCCUGACCCAGCAACGCCGCGUGAGGGAAGAAGGCUUUCGGGUUGUAAACCUCUUUUAGGAGGGAGGAGCGCAAGACGGUACCUCUUGAAUAAGCCACGGCUAACUACGUGCCAGCAGCCGCGGUAAUACGUAGGUGGCAAGCGUUGUCCGGAGUUACUGGGUGUAAAGGGCGUGUAGCCGGGCUGACAAGUCAGAUGUGAAAUCCCGUGGCUCAACCAGGGAACUGCAUUCGAAACUGGCGGGCUUGAGUAUCGGAGAGGGAGGCGGAAUUCCUAGUGUAGCGGUGAAAUGCGUAGAUAUUAGGAGGAACACCAGUGGCGAAGGCGGCCUGCUGGACGAAAACUGACGGUGAGGCGCGAAAGCGUGGGGAGCAAACAGGAUUAGAUACCCUAGUAGUC